Cinara cedri is the source of this 711-nucleotide non-coding RNA. The record is from the annotation of a GenBank genome assembly. NCBI's taxonomy places the organism in Eukaryota, Metazoa, Arthropoda, Insecta, Hemiptera, Aphididae.
CUAUUGAGACUCGUCAUCCAACCUCCUCGUGGUAUCUCUUGAAUAACGGUAAUACGCUGAAGCGCUCAUUCAACAUAUUUAUCAUAUUAUUAUUGAUAGACGACAAUGGGGGAGUCAGCUAGUACACAAAGAAAGUUUCGGGAAUCAACUCAACAACACCGGAAAAUUCCUGGGCUCGCCGACGAACGAAACCCGAAUAUUAACAAUAGAGCAUUUGGUCUGUCGCGCGCGUCGUAAACGUUCGGCCGAACGGGUGCACCUAACGCCGCCGCCGUCGCGAUUAUUUCGCUAUUUUACGACCGCCGUCCGUUACUCUAUACGCACUUUGUCUGUUAAUAACCUCGACGGUAGAUACCGUGUAUAUUAACCCGGUAAACUAAACUUAUUAACCACGCUAAAACAUAAUAUUAUACGAUAUAUUUUUAUUGCUCCCCGAGUUCGUCGUACAACUCGGGCCCGCGUACUACGCGCAUAAAUCGCCGUGCUGGUACCAAUAAUCGUAAUAGGACGUUCAACAGUGGUUCACAUUUUGUGACAAUUCGUGCUUGACGAUCCGUACCAUAUCAAACCGCGUUGGAUAUUUCGGCCGUGAAAGCCAUAGACGCUACAUACUAGGGACCACUACAGCUGGGUCUUUAGCACUCCCCCCCCCCUCCAAUCCCGAAAUACUCAAAAAGCUGUUUUAUAUUAUAGGCUAAAUAUUUUAUCCGU